Molecule: long non-coding RNA, 828 nt
Filed under: Monodelphis domestica (gray short-tailed opossum)
Lineage: Eukaryota; Metazoa; Chordata; Mammalia; Didelphimorphia; Didelphidae
Description: lncRNA (ENSMODG00000047530.1)
Source: RNAcentral
GUACCUCCCAUUAGGUAAAUGGAACUAAUGAAGUAACCUAGGAACUCUCAGAUGCACAAGGUGGGUACCAAGACUGAGAAUAUCAUAUUCUCAGGGUUGCUAGUGACACACCAUGCUCUAAGAAGAAAGACAAAGGCAGAAGAAGAAAAUCAGGGACUUGGGCAAGCAUAUGUUUUCUCUACUAUAUUUUUGUAGUCACCAUUGUCAUUUUGGGGGGAUAAAAAAAAAAAAACUCUUGCCCAUUCUCAGUGGAAGUCCAAAGGAGAGCUAUCAGAGUCCUGAAUCAACAUACUCAAAAGUGAGCGUACAUCCUUUCUAAAGUUCUAAUCUUUUAUGGAGGAAAUGUUCCCUUGGCACCACUGAUGCAGCCAUUUCCCCUCCCCAUCACUGGAGACAAAAGUUCCAUUUAAGAGUUCCUCAAUCAUGAAAGUGGAAAGGAAACAAGACUGACAGUUUGUGGGGGAAGGGCCCAACUGGGAGUGGCAGUUGGGUCUUGUGACUAGCACUUCCUUCCUGCCAGGUGGGUCUUGCGUCCUGGUGUUGGAGGAGAGUGGAGCUUGGUCAGCCCAGUCUGGAGUGGCAUGCUCUUCUUGGUUCAGCCCAAAGACACAGGCUUCUAAAGGUGGGUUUUGCGUCCUAGUGUUGGAGGAGAGUGGAGCUUGGUCAGCCCAGUCUGGAGUGGCAUGCUCUUCUUGGUUCAGCCCAAAGACACAGGCUUCUAAAGGGAAACUUUUCCUGGAUAGAAGGUCGAUGGAAGAAGUCAUUUCCAGAGUUCCAGACUGACACUUUCGAGCCAGACAUUGAAUAAAGCUUCCGAAACCAAAACCA